AAGGAGCACUUCUCCGGAUGGUGUCUCGAACAGUCGAGAUCGCCUCUGGCAGAGACAGUUUCGGACUCACAUGUAGUCCGGCUGGAGCUCAUGGGUGGAACGCUGACAACCUCUUCCGUGUAUCGGCUGGUACUCAGUGACCGGCCGGCGGGUGAUAUAUCGACACACUGUUGGGUCCUGAAAGAACAGACGUUCUUUCCAGGCAAAAGAUACGACAAGGUCUUCUCCGCGUGUCAUACCGCGGGUUUUCUUCCCGGCUGGUGCCGCAGUGGUGAGAAGGUCUUGUGUGUUGUUUGAGAACUGCACAGUGGACGCGAGCAUCUUUGUUU
This 329-nucleotide unclassified non-coding RNA is filed under the name Nocardia africana. RNAcentral's name for it is "16S-23S ribosomal RNA intergenic spacer region". Lineage: Bacteria; Bacillati; Actinomycetota; Actinomycetes; Mycobacteriales; Nocardiaceae. The record is from RNAcentral.